RNAcentral lists this ribosomal RNA (450 nucleotides) under uncultured bacterium. Its description in RNAcentral is "bacterial SSU rRNA". It matches the Rfam family "Bacterial small subunit ribosomal RNA", at positions 354 to 796 of the family's 1533-position model. The record is from RNAcentral.
GUGGGGAAUUUUGGACAAUGGGCGCAAGCCUGAUCCAGCAAUGCCGCGUGCAGGAAGAAGGCCUUCGGGUUGUAAACUGCUUUUGUACGGAACGAAACGGUCCUGGUUAAUACCCGGGGCUAAUGACGGUACCGUAAGAAUAAGCACCGGCUAACUACGUGCCAGCAGCCGCGGUAAUACGUAGGGUGCAAGCGUUAAUCGGAAUUACUGGGCGUAAAGCGGGCGCAGGCGGGGCUGUAAGACAGGCGUGAAAUCCCCGGGCUAAACCUGGGAAUUGCGCUUGUGACUGCAGUGCUGGAGUGCGGCAGAGGGGGAUGGAAUUCCGCGUGUAGCAGUGAAAUGCGUAGAUAUGCGGAGGAACACCGAUGGCGAAGGCAAUCCCCUGGGCCGUAACUGACGCUGAGGAGCGAAAGCGUGGGGAGCGAACAGGAUUAGAUACCCGAGUAGUCC